RNAcentral lists this ribosomal RNA (544 nucleotides) under uncultured bacterium. Its description in RNAcentral is "partial 16S ribosomal RNA". It matches the Rfam family "Bacterial small subunit ribosomal RNA", at positions 355 to 895 of the family's 1533-position model. The record is from RNAcentral.
UGGGGAAUUUUGGACAAUGGGCGAAAGCCUGAUCCAGCAAUGCCGCGUGUGUGAAGAAGGCCUUCGGGUUGUAAAGCACUUUUGUCCGGAAAGAAAUCCUUGGCUCUAAUACAGUCGGGGGAUGACGGUACCGGAAGAAUAAGCACCGGCUAACUACGUGCCAGCAGCCGCGGUAAUACGUAGGGUGCAAGCGUUAAUCGGAAUUACUGGGCGUAAAGCGUGCGCAGGCGGUUUGCUAAGACCGAUGUGAAAUCCCCGGGCUCAACCUGGGAACUGCAUUGGUGACUGGCAGGCUAGAGUAUGGCAGAGGGGGUAGAAUUCCACGUGUAGCAGUGAAAUGCGUAGAGAUGUGGAGGAAUACCGAUGGCGAAGGCAGCCCCUGGGCCAAUACUGACGCUCAUGCACGAAAGCGUGGGGAGCAAACAGGAUUAGAUACCCUGGUAGUCCACGCCCUAAACGAUGUCAACUAGUUGUUGGGGAUUCAUUCCUUAGUAACGUAGCUAACGCGUGAAGUUGACCGCCUGGGGAGUACGGUCGCAAGAUU